GCAGGGGUGCCUGGGUCGGGGGCUGCAGGUGGGAGUGAGCAAAUGUGCUAUCUCGCCACCUCGGGACAGGUGGUAGGGCCUCUGACACAGAGUGGUCCUUCCUGCUGUUCACAGCUCAGCUCACCGUGGGCUGACCAUAGGCAGGUGACAGUCCCCUUUCUGGCCUCGGUUUCCCUGUCUGUAAAUUGGGGACAAUAAGCUCAAGAGCUGUCCCUGCCAGAACCCAGUGGAAAGAAAUCCAGCAGCUGCUAUGGGAAGCGACCCUCCCAGCCUGCCCCGCCCUGCCUGGGGAAGCAGGCCUUCUGCUUGAGGGGGACUGGGCGCACGCUGGGCCUCUGGUCUGCGCAGUCUGCCCGGGGUCUGUGAGUGCUUGUGAGUGGGCUUCUCCGGUCUCCAGAUUCUCGUUGAAAUCCUAACCCCCAAGGCAAUGAUGUUAGGAGGCGGGGCUUCUGGGAGAUGGCGAGUUCGUGAGGCUGCAGCUCUCCUGAGUGGGAUCAGUGUCCUUCUACAAGCGGCUCCAGGGAGGUCCCUUGCCCCUUCCACCAUGUGAGGACCCGAGAUGGUGCCGUCUGUGAACCAGGAAGUGAGCCGCUGCUUGGGGUGAGCAUGCUUCCUGCUGGAUGCUUCUCUAUGUAAGCACCUGCCUGCGCGUCAGCCCUCUUAAGGUGAACCGCUCCGUGUCAUUCUUAUAUUCACAAGUUUGUGCCGCCAUCAUCGUGAUCUGAUUCCAAAACAUGUUCAUCACCUCCAAGAAAGCCUUGUACCUGGCAGCAGUCACUGUCUCUAUGGAUUUGUUUAUUCUGGACAUUUCAUAAAAAUAGAACCAAACAGCAUUUGGC
Molecule: long non-coding RNA, 839 nt
Organism: Gorilla gorilla gorilla (western lowland gorilla)
Lineage: Eukaryota; Metazoa; Chordata; Mammalia; Primates; Hominidae
Exons: 3
Source: RefSeq, a predicted model, not a curated record